AAUCUCAUAUCCCCACAAAAUAAAUACCAACUUAUUGCUCUAAGCAGUUAUUCAAAUUUAAAAUUUAAAUUUGAAAUAUGAACCCAACACAGUUUUUGUUAGCUCAAAGGGACCAGUAUUCUGUCAUAUAGCGGGAGGUCACGUUGGAUCUGGUCAUGUUUGAAAUGGCGGUGGGAUGUCGGGAGACUAGUUAGGCCGAAUCACAGUCAAGACCUACGAACGCUGUAUCUGUACACUUUAAAUGAAAUGAACUGGUUGUAUUUUUUUAAGAGCUCAAAAUUUUGAAAUUAAUGAUUAAUUAGAGCCGAUGAUUGGA
RNAcentral lists this long non-coding RNA (316 nucleotides) under Ananas comosus (pineapple). RNAcentral's name for it is "long non-coding RNA (ACOM_LNC025722)". The record is from RNAcentral. Lineage: Eukaryota; Viridiplantae; Streptophyta; Magnoliopsida; Poales; Bromeliaceae.